RNAcentral lists this ribosomal RNA (301 nucleotides) under uncultured bacterium. RNAcentral's name for it is "partial 16S ribosomal RNA". It matches the Rfam family "Bacterial small subunit ribosomal RNA", at positions 510 to 808 of the family's 1533-position model. The record is from RNAcentral.
AGCCGCCGCGGGAAUACGGAGGGUGCAAGCGUUAAUCGGAAUUACUGGGCGUAAAGCGCACGCAGGCGGUCUGACAAGUCAGAUGUGAAAUCCCCGGGCUUAACCUGGGAACUGCAUUUGAAACUGUCAGGCUGGAGUCUUGUAGAGGGGGGUGGAAUUCCAGGUGUAGCGGUGAAAUGCGUAGAGAUCUGGAGGAAUACCGGUGGCGAAGGCGGCCCCCUGGACAAAGACUGACGCUCAGGUGCGAAAGCGUGGGGAGCAAACAGGAUUAGAUACCCGUGUAGUCCCUGUCUCUUAUACA